UCCCAAACAGAAAAUAUAUAUCUAUCUGUUGGAGGUGGCUGAAGUCAGGUCAUGUUGUAAGGCAGAGGGAUAUGGCAGAUGCCUGUCUAUGGCUCAUAGAAACAGAUAAUUUAGUCAUGGCUUAAAAAUGGCACCAUGAAUUUUCCUUAGAAGUUCUUUCAGAGAAAACCUCUCUAGUCUACUUUGUAAAUGAGAAUUAGGGAAAUUUUCCCAAAUUAAGCUUUUUUUUUUUUUUCCCUAGGGAAUAUUUUCUUAGCCUACUAAGUGCAAGUUCACUCAAGUUUACCUAUUCAGCAUUGC
This 300-nucleotide long non-coding RNA is filed under the name Bos taurus (domestic cattle). RNAcentral's name for it is "long non-coding RNA NONBTAT026564". Lineage: Eukaryota; Metazoa; Chordata; Mammalia; Artiodactyla; Bovidae. The record is from RNAcentral.